This 254-nucleotide ribosomal RNA is filed under the name Escherichia coli. RNAcentral's name for it is "partial 23S ribosomal RNA". It matches the Rfam family "Bacterial large subunit ribosomal RNA", at positions 1514 to 1765 of the family's 2925-position model. The record is from RNAcentral. Lineage: Bacteria; Pseudomonadati; Pseudomonadota; Gammaproteobacteria; Enterobacterales; Enterobacteriaceae.
AAGCGUGUAGGCUGGUUUUCCAGGCAAAUCCGGAAAAUCAAGGCUGAGGCGUGAUGACGAGGCACUACGGUGCUGAAGCAACAAAUGCCCUGCUUCCAGGAAAAGCCUCUAAGCAUCAGGUAACAUUAAAUCGUACCCCAAACCGACACAGGUGGUCAGGUAGAGAAUACCAAGGCGCUUGAGAGAACUCGGGUGAAGGAACUAGGCAAAAUGGUGCCGUAACUUCGGGAGAAGGCACGCUGAUAUGUAGGUGA